RNAcentral lists this ribosomal RNA (253 nucleotides) under uncultured bacterium. Its description in RNAcentral is "partial 16S ribosomal RNA". It matches the Rfam family "Bacterial small subunit ribosomal RNA", at positions 524 to 776 of the family's 1533-position model. The record is from RNAcentral.
UACGUAGGGGGCAAGCGUUGUCCGGAUUUACUGGGCGUAAAGAGCGCGUAGGCGGAAACGCCAGUCCGGCUUGAAAGCCCCCGGCUCAACCGGGGAGAGUGGCUGGAAACUGCGUUUCUUGAGGGCGAGAGAGGAGGGUGGAAUUCCUGGUGUAGCGGUGAAAUGCGUAGAUAUCAGGAGGAACACCGGUGGUGUAGACGGCUUUCUGGACCGUAACUGACGCUGAGACACGAAAGCGUGGGUAGCAAACAGG